This 756-nucleotide ribosomal RNA is filed under the name uncultured bacterium. RNAcentral describes it as "bacterial SSU rRNA". It matches the Rfam family "Bacterial small subunit ribosomal RNA", at positions 8 to 796 of the family's 1533-position model. The record is from RNAcentral.
AGAGUUUGAUCAUGGCUCAGAAUCAACGCUGGCGGCGCGCCUAACACAUGCAAGUCGAACGAGAAAGUGGAGCAAUCCAUGAGUACAGUGGCGUACGGGUGAGUAACACGUGGGUAAUCUACCUCUUAGUGGGGAAUAACCAGGGGAAACUCUGGCUAAUACCGCAUAAGCCUGAGAAGGGAAAGCAGCAAUGCGCUGAGAGAGGAGCCCGCGGCCGAUUAGCUAGUUGGUGGGGUAAGAGCCCACCAAGGCAGAGAUCGGUAGCCGGCCUGAGAGGGCACACGGCCACACUGGCACUGAAACACGGGCCAGACUCCUACGGGAGGCAGCAGUGGGGAAUCUUGCACAAUGGGGGAAACCCUGAUGCAGCGACGCCGCGUGAGCGAUGAAGCCCUUCGGGGUGUAAAGCUCUUUCGUCAGGGACGAUAAUGACGGUACCUGGAGAAGCAGCUGCGGCUAACUACGUGCCAGCAGCCGCGGUAAUACGUAGGCAGCAAGCGUUGUUCGGAGUUACUGGGCGUAAAGGGUGUGUAGGCGGUUCUUUAAGUUUGGUGUGAAAUCUCCCGGCUCAACUGGGAGGGUGCGCCGAAUACUGAGGGACUAGAGUACGGGAGAGGAAAGUGGAAUUCCUGGUGUAGCGGUGAAAUGCGUAGAUAUCAGGAGGAACACCGGUGGUGUAGACGGCUUUCUGGACCGUAACUGACGCUGAGACACGAAAGCGUGGGUAGCAAACAGGAUUAGAUACCCUAGUAGUCC